GUCCCUCAAAAAGCUUAACCGAUAACACACACACAUAAAAAAGGGAAAUCAAGGAAAAAACAAAAACAAAACAAGAAAAACAACAAGAACAAAAGCUCACUCUGCCACAUGCAAACAAACAAACAAACAAACAAAAAAAAGAGAAAGAAAAACACCAGAGAGAGAGAGAGAGAGAGAGAGAGAUUCACUCAUUCCAGUCUCAUGUUGUCAGUCUUAAGUUCUUCAAUAAGUCCACAUAAGGGAUUGAAUUCUAUAUAAUGUGGGGUUAGAUUUCAUUAUUAAAGGACUUAGGAUUAAACAGACAUUGCAUACACUGACUCUAUUAACAUCACUAUUACGGUUAUUAUUAUUAUUAUUAUUAUUAUUAUUAUUAUUAUUAUUAUUAUUAUUAUUAUUAUUAUAGGGUUAGUUGUUAGUGUGUGUGUGUGUGUGUGUGUGUGUGUGUUGCUAAUCCUUCUUAUUUUCAUUUUUUUUGUCUAUGUAUAAUUUGGUAAAACAAUGUCCAUGUAUAAGUUAGGUACACACACACACACACACACCACAAACAAAAAUAAAUAAAUAAAUAAAUAAAAAUAAUAUGUAUAAUAAUAUCCAUGCAACUUCACGUAUAGCAAAACCACAAGCCAUGAAGUGUAACAAGCUCAUAACAGUGUAUUGCCAGCAGUACAACACAAUAUAUAUAUACACACUAUGACAUAAGGUUAAGGAGGUCAAGUCUGGUAUCAUCAAGCACUCGGGUCCUAAGAGGUCAAGGCUGGUAUAAUCAAACUCGUAGAAGCCUUGGUCCACCCAUUCAAAAAGGCUCUCACAGAAGCUACAGGGGUUUCCAAGGGGGGUAUCUUGACCCUGGUGGUAGUUUUGGAAGUCUUCUGUGCCGUGAAUGGGAAAAACACUAACGGUAGCCUGUUGAAUCUCCUCUGUGGCCUCCAAAAUUGGUCCCAACAAGAGCUCGAAAGGUUUGAUGAUACAAGUCCAAGUCAGUCAUUGUAAGUCAGUCUCAAUUUGAACCUAAACUGCUUAAUGGACAGUGCUUAGAAGGGAGGGUGAGGCUUAGGGGAAGGGUCAUGCUACCAGGCAGCGAGGGGUCAAGUCUCGCCCCUAUACAAUAAUCACUCUCUGUAAGCAAGAAUUUCCAGCUGAACAUGUCAUCAUAUGGACAGUGUUUAGAAGAGAGGGUGAGGGUUAGGGGAAGGGUCAUGGUACCAGGCAGAGAGGGGUCAAGUCUCACCCCUAUACAAGACUUAUCACUCUCUGUAAGCAAGAAUUUCCAGCUGAACAUAAGUCAUCAUAUGGACAGUGUUUAGAAGAGAGGGUGAGGGUUAGGGGAAGGGUCAUGCUACCAGGCAGAGAGGGGUCAAGUCUCGCCCCUAUACAAUAAUCACUCUCUGUAAGCAAGAAUUUCCAGCUGAACAUAAGUCAUCAUAUGGACAGUGUUUAGAAGAGAGGGUGAGGGUUAAGGGAAGGGUCAUGGUACCAGGCAGAGAGGGGUCAAGUCUCACCCCUAUACAAUAAUCACUUUCUGUAAGCAAGAAUUUCCAGCUGAACAUGUCAUCAUAUGGACAGUGUUUAGAAGAGAGGGUGAGGGUUAAGGGACAGGGCAUGCUAGCCAACAGAGACCCUUAAAGCAUAAACAUCACAGCCUCAGAAUAUCACAACAGCCAGCCAGCCACAUUGAUACAAGCCAUAGCUAUCACUCAUCUCCUUAUCCCAGUUAGGUUAGGUGUAAGGGAUGAGAGAGAGAGAGAGGGAGCCCAGUUAGGUUAGGUGUAAGGAAUGAGAGAGAGAACGAGAGAGAGGGAGAGAGAGGGAGAGGGAUAGUUUUAGAUGCAUUCAAAACCAUGGUAUGUUAGUAUUUAAGGGAGGUUAGGUUAGGGGUAUAUUAGAACAUGCAGUGGUGGUGGUAGUAAUAGUAGUAGUAGUAGUAGUAGAAUAAAAAGUAAUUUGGAAAGAAAAACAGACAGAUAGACAGAUAGACGGAUAGUUAAAUGAAAAGAAAGAAAAAAAAAAAAGAAAGGACACACACACACACACACACACACACACACAAGCAAACAAACAACCAAGCAGAUACAGGCACAAGCAGCAGUUACAGGCACAAGCAGGAACAGGUAACAUCAGUCUGUAUGUAAGUCUGUAGGCAUUGAGCAAGGGGGCCGAGGUAGGCAGCCAGCAUCCCACCUUCGUUCUUGGUCACAGUGAGGAGGGUCAUCUCGUCAGGCUGUCCCCCCCGCCCCACCACAGAGCUCACUGCGGUGGGGGAAGGGACUGGAGAGGUGGGUGAGUAAGUGGGUGAACAAGUCUUGAUUCUGAACCCAACGCACACUUAUAGGUUCUCUUGGGAAAUGAUAGGUAGGUGGGUAGGUGGUUGGGUAAGGUAGGAAGGUGGGGAGGAGGGUUGAAAAGUCUUGAUUCUGAGCCCAACACACACACUUAGGUUCUCUUGGGAAAUGAUAGGUAGGUGGGUAGGUGGUUGGGUAAGGUAGGAAGGUGGGGAGGAGGGUUGAAAAGUCUUGAUUCUGAGCCCAACACACACACUUAGGUUCUCUUGGGGUAUGGUAGGGUCAGGUAGGAAGGGGGAGGGGGUGUGGAGAGGGUAGGGUAGGUCGCAGUGCCCAGCCUAACACACAUAUAUUUAGCUUCUCAUGGGAAUUGUAAGGUAAGGUAAGUAAGGUCAGAAGCCAGAGAGGUGGAUGGGUAAGUCUUGAUUCUGAGCCCAUCACACACAUUCAGGUUCUCUUAGGAAUUGUAAGGUAAGGUAAGUAAGGUCAGAAGCCAGAGAGGUGGAUGGGUAAGUCCUGAUUCUGAACCCAUCACACACAUUCAGGUUCUCUUGGGAAUUGUAUGGUAAGGUAAGUAAGGUUAGAAGCCAGAGAGGUGGGUUGAAAAGUCUUGAUUCUGAACCCAUCACACACAUUCAGGUUCUCUUAGGAAUUGUAAGGUAAGGUAAGUAAGGUAGGAAGCCAGAGAGGAGGGUUGAAAAGUCUUGAUUCUGAACCCAUCACACACAUUCAGGUUCUCUUGGGAAUUGUAAGGUAAGGUAAGUAAGGUUGGAAGCCAGAGAGGUGGAUGGGUAAGUCCUGAUUCUGAGCCCAUCACACACAUUCAGGUUCUCUUGGGAAUUGUAAGGUAAGGUAAGUAAGGUCGGAAGCCAGAGAGGUGGAUGGGUAAGUCCUGAUUCUGAACCCAUCACACACAUUCAGGUUCUCUUGGGAAUUGUAAGGUAAGGUAAGUAAGGUUAGAAGCCAGAGAGGUGGGUUGAAAAGUCUUGAUUCUGAGCCAAACACACACAUUCAGGUUCUCUUGGGAAUUGUAAGGCAGGGUGGGUAAGUGGUUGGGUAAGGUAGGAAGCCAGAGAGGAGGGUUGAAAAGUCUUGAUUCUGAGCCAAACACACACAUUUAGGUUCUCUUGGGAAUU
Molecule: long non-coding RNA, 3415 nt
Organism: Eriocheir sinensis (Chinese mitten crab)
Lineage: Eukaryota; Metazoa; Arthropoda; Malacostraca; Decapoda; Varunidae
Exons: 5
Source: RefSeq, a predicted model, not a curated record